CAAAUGUAAUGGCAUGUCGUUGACCCUGGUGCUCAGCAACACAUAUUUCAAAUCCCUGAAGAUUAAUAGGGAAGAUGCUUACAGCUCUCACAACAGCUGCUGGAAAGUGUUCCUAUCUCAGGUUUUAAUUACACGUAUUUAUACAGUAAAAAAUUCCUAAAUGCAGCAUAGCCUGUAGUAUGCAACAAUUUUGAGCAUUUAUGAGAUUCAGGCAAUUAAGAGUCUAAACUUUCAAAUGUUUCCAGAUGGCACACUGAUUAACAAUUGUGCGAAUUUAAUAUUUGUUUAAAUGCACUACUCUGUGAAACACUUCUUAAUAGUAGAUGAACGCGUUGGAAUGAAUCUAGGAACAACUUUUCUUCAAGCACAACUUGCCUCCUUGCCUGAAGAAGUGGAAAUCUUAUUAGCUGAUUAUAUAGACCAAAAGCAGAAGCAGAGAAGUGGUAAGAGAUGAAAAAGACAAAAUAGAAGCCAAGCUAUUUUUUCACUAAUGAACAUUUCUUCUUUCUCUUUAGACACAGGUCCCAUGGUAUUCAUGCAAGCCACUUACAACAUCAGUCUCCCUGCUCUUGCAAGUGAACCUACUUGUAAGGACAUUUCCUUGGGGCUAAUGGCUUUAUGAAUGUUGACAUCUGUUGCAUGCAGUAAAUUGAAGUGUUUUCCAACUUGUAGGAUGUGCUUCACUAGUGAGAUGAAGGAACUAAAAGUAUUUUCCAGCAAGACCACUUCUGGUGCAUCAGUUCCAAGUUCUUCUGGCAGGAAAGAUCUUCCUGUGGUCACACAGCAUCUGACAUCUUCCCCAUCAUGUGCCCCAUGUUACAAAGCCCACUGCAUUGAAGAUGAAACCACAGGGAUUAGUCCUGAUUGUACAAUGCCAUGUGAACACGAAGGAUGUUUAUAGUUUCAAAAAUAUUUCCUCUUUCUCCCGGGCUACAUUUUUCAGACCAAUCCUGACCUGUUUUGUAAAAGAAGAUAUAUUCAGUAAGACCACAGACCAUCCACAGAGCUUUUUGGUCUCCAACAAUCUCCAGUUAAUGACUGCCUGUUGGGAAAAAGCAUAAAAAGGAAAAUGUACACUGAUGUUCCCACAUUUUAGCUUUCCAGCUUCCUACAAUCUGUGGCUAUGCAGUUUCCUGACCUGGGGGUUAUUUCUUUGUCUAUCACUCUGUGGUGGAUUUUCCUUCCAUGUUUUUAUCUAAUUGCUUUUUGAACCCGUGAAAACUUAUGACACUCACAACAUCCCAUGGCAAUGAGUUUCAUAGUUUAAUUACGUGCUUCAUGAAAAAGUGUUUUCCUUUAAUCAUUUUGAACCCACCUUCAUUUGAUACCUCCAAGAUUUUGUAUUACAAGAAAUUGCUCUUUCUUCACUCUUUCCAUGUUUGUCAUGAUUUCAUUGGCAUCUGUCACAUCCUUGAAAAAUUACUUUCCUUGCUGAAGAGACUCAUUUUAG
Long non-coding RNA from Gallus gallus (chicken), 1450 nucleotides. Lineage: Eukaryota; Metazoa; Chordata; Aves; Galliformes; Phasianidae. The record is from Ensembl.